UACGGAGGAUCCGAGCGUUAUCCGGAUUUAUUGGGUUUAAAGGGUGCGCAGGCGGGAGAUUAAGUCGGCGGUGAAAUUUUGCAGCUUAACUGUAAAAGUGCCUUCGAAACUGGUUUCCUUGAGUGUAGAUGAAGUAGGCGGAAUUUGUGGUGUAGCGGUGAAAUGCAUAGAUAUCACGAGGAACUCCGAUUGCGCAGGCAGCUUACUAAACUACUACUGACGCUCAGGCACGAAGGCGUGGGGAGUCAAACAGGAUUAGAUACCCUCGGUAGU
Molecule: ribosomal RNA, 273 nt
Filed under: uncultured prokaryote
Description: partial 16S ribosomal RNA
Rfam family: Bacterial small subunit ribosomal RNA
Source: RNAcentral